Long non-coding RNA from Cyprinus carpio carpio, 765 nucleotides. The record is from Ensembl. NCBI's taxonomy places the organism in Eukaryota, Metazoa, Chordata, Actinopteri, Cypriniformes, Cyprinidae.
ACGACCUUCACAACGGGACGGAGCUAACGUAAUUAACGUUAACGGUUACUUGGAAAUUCAAACAGUAACGGUCAUCUGACAACUGCGCUGAGCCAAAGGACGGGAACAGCAACAAGAGUUUAACUUCUGAUUCGUAAUCUACACACUCUACUGGGCAGUUCAUGAAGACAGAUAGAUGUUGUGCCGACCAGGACAGUUCCUCCUACCACACCAGACUUUGCUGUAUAUGGAUGCCUGACCACUAGCACUGGACAUUUACAACAUUUUGGCGCCAGGGAUCCCUUGCAGAGAAGAUUUUUCAAAGACACCCUCAGAAUUACAACAGAUUUUAAGGCUUAAAAUUAUUGUGGGUGGGAGUCAGGAAAAAACACAUAAGUUGCAUCCGUGUAUAAGACACAUUUUACUAUUAAUUUCAGAAAUAAUUUAAAUACUGAUAAAUAAAACAAACGUUAAGAAACUUAAAAACUAUGAACACUGUAAAGAUUUUAUUUUCCCUCACUUCAAAUCAUUUAAAUUGAAUACUAUUCAAAACAGAAUAAAAAUAAAAAUAUUUAGGCCUAUGUAUAAAAUAAAAAAAAUUCUAGUGCCAUUAUUUACAAGCAGUAUAUCUUUUGUUAAUUAAAAUGCACUUGCUAUCUCAGUUUCUGUGAACCUCAUUCUGAAAUGUAGAAAACACAGUGGUACAGACAAUACCACUGUGUACAGACAGGCUUGUCACACAGACAUGAGAACUAUACUUAUAGAAACCUGUAAGUGCCCGCUUUU